This 352-nucleotide unclassified non-coding RNA is filed under the name soil metagenome. RNAcentral's name for it is "partial contains 5.8S ribosomal RNA, internal transcribed spacer 2, and large subunit ribosomal RNA". The stretch from base 1 to 120 matches the Rfam family "5.8S ribosomal RNA", at positions 35 to 154 of the family's 154-position model. The record is from RNAcentral.
GAUGAAGAACGCAGCGAAAUGCGAUAAGUAAUGUGAAUUGCAGAAUUCAGUGAAUCAUCGAAUCUUUGAACGCACAUUGCGCCCGCCAGUAUUCUGGCGGGCAUGCCUGUUCGAGCGUCAUUACAACCCUCAGGCCCCCGGGCCUGGCGUUGGGGAUCGGCAGAAGCCCCCUGUGGGCACACGCCGUCCCCCAAAUACAGUGGCGGUCCCGCCGCAGCUUCCAUUGCGUAGUAGCUAACACCUCGCAACUGGAGAGCGGCGCGGCCAUGCCGUAAAACACCCAACUUCUGAAUGUUGACCUCGAAUCAGGUAGGAAUACCCGCUGAACUUAAGCAUAUCAAUAAGCGGAGGA